AGAGUUGAUCAUGGCUCAGAACGAACGCUGGCGGCGCGUUUAAGCAUGCAAGUCGAGCGGCAAGGGCCUUCGGGCCCCUAGAGCGGCGGACGGGUGAGUAACACGUGGACAAUCUGCCCCCCGGCCCGGGAUAGCCCAGGGAAACCUGGAUUAAUACCGGAUGAGACGGGACCCGCGAUGGCGGGAUCCGGGAAAGGCGCUGCGGCGCCGCCGGGGGAUGAGUCUGCGUCCCAUUAGCUAGACGGCGGGGUAACGGCCCACCGUGGCGACGAUGGGUAGCCGGCCUGAGAGGGUGGACGGCCACAUUGGAACUGAGACACGGUCCAGACUCCUACGGGAGGCAGCAGCUAAGAAUCUUCCGCAAUGGGCGAAAGCCUGACGGAGCGACGCCCGCGUGAACGAAGAAGGCCGUGAGGUUGUAAAGUUCUUUUCGGGAGGGGGAACAACCGUGGCAGGGAAUGGCCGCGGGAUGACGUGAAUCCCGGAAUAAGCCCCGGCUAACUACGUGCCAGCAGCCGC
RNAcentral lists this ribosomal RNA (519 nucleotides) under uncultured bacterium. Its description in RNAcentral is "bacterial SSU rRNA". It matches the Rfam family "Bacterial small subunit ribosomal RNA", at positions 8 to 518 of the family's 1533-position model. The record is from RNAcentral.